This 253-nucleotide ribosomal RNA is filed under the name uncultured bacterium. RNAcentral's name for it is "partial 16S ribosomal RNA". It matches the Rfam family "Bacterial small subunit ribosomal RNA", at positions 524 to 776 of the family's 1533-position model. The record is from RNAcentral.
UACGUAGGGGCCAAGCGUUGUCCGGAUUUAUUGGGCGUAAAGAGCUCGUAGGCGGUUUGUCGCGUCGGCCGUGAAAUCUCCACGCUUAACGUGGAGCGUGCGGUCGAUACGGGCAGACUUGAGUUCGGUAGGGGAGACUGGAAUUCCUGGUGUAGCGGUGAAAUGCGCAGAUAUCAGGAGGAACACCGGUGGCGAAGGCGGGUCUCUGGGCCGAUACUGACGCUGAGGAGCGAAAGCCAGGGGAGCAAACGGG